Molecule: ribosomal RNA, 880 nt
Filed under: Parapenidiella pseudotasmaniensis
Lineage: Eukaryota; Fungi; Ascomycota; Dothideomycetes; Mycosphaerellales; Teratosphaeriaceae
Also listed under: 1 other name
Description: eukaryotic LSU rRNA
Rfam family: Eukaryotic large subunit ribosomal RNA
Source: RNAcentral
CUUAAGCAUAUCAAUAAGCGGAGGAAAAGAAACCAACAGGGAUUGCCCUAGUAACGGCGAGUGAAGCGGCAACAGCUCAAAUUUGAAAUCUGGCAUCCGCCCGAGUUGUAAUUUGUAGAGGAUGCUUCUGGGCAGCGGCCGGUCUAAGUUCCUUGGAACAGGACGUCAUAGAGGGUGAGAAUCCCGUAUGCGACCGGUUGGCACCCGUCACGUAGCUCCUUCGACGAGUCGAGUUGUUUGGGAAUGCAGCUCUAAAUGGGAGGUAAAUUUCUUCUAAAGCUAAAUACCGGCCAGAGACCGAUAGCGCACAAGUAGAGUGAUCGAAAGAUGAAAAGCACUUUGGAAAGAGAGUUAAACAGCACGUGAAAUUGUUGAAAGGGAAGCGCAUGCCACCAGACUUGUCGGCGGUGUUCCGCCGGUCUUCUGACCGGUCCACUCGCCGCCGCCAGGCCAGCAUCGCUUGGGACCGCCGGACAAAGGCGUGGGGAAUGUGGCUCCCUCGGGAGUGUUAUAGCCCCGCGCACAAUACGGCGCGCCCCGAGCGAGGUCCGCGCUUCGGCUAGGAUGCUGGCGUAAUGGUGGUAUGCGGCCCGUCUUGAAACACGGACCAAGGAGUCUAACAUCUAUGCGAGUGUUCGGGUGUCAAACCCCUACGCGGAAUGAAAGUGAACGGAGGUGGGAACUUUUUUGUGCACCAUCGACCGAUCCUGAUGUCUUCGGAUGGAUUUGAGUAAGAGCAUAGCUGUUGGGACCCGAAAGAUGGUGAACUAUGCCUGAAUAGGGUGAAGCCAGAGGAAACUCUGGUGGAGGCUCGCAGCGGUUCUGACGUGCAAAUCGAUCGUCAAAUUUGGGUAUAGGGGCGAAAGACUAAUCGAACCAU